Molecule: long non-coding RNA, 5876 nt
Organism: Oncorhynchus nerka (sockeye salmon)
Lineage: Eukaryota; Metazoa; Chordata; Actinopteri; Salmoniformes; Salmonidae
Exons: 4
Source: RefSeq, a predicted model, not a curated record
CUGAGCUCUAUUGCCAUUUGCCACGUAAUCUCCCGAGUGCAGAGUAUAUGCAGAGUUCAUAUGCUAUUCGGAACGAGAAAACGCGGAAAUGUCAGACUUGCUAACUGGUUGUAGUUAUAUACGUGCCGCGUACAUGGUUAGCAAGUGGGUAAAUGUCCGAGUUUCCUAGCUCCGACUAGCACUUGAAAGCGGCAAUAGGUACAAGGGGCGGAUUGCGUAGCAGAGCAACACGAGCCUGUCAGAACCGGAGGAGAACACACGGGCAAAAUCUUAGAGCAUACAAGUUCAAGGGGGGGAUUGUUUUAGUUUCCCCUGUGAAAACAAAACAUUGAAACGUGGAUAUUGUUGAUUAAGUAGGUGCGUGGUGUUGGCGAGCAAGUGGACCACCAAUGACUGCACCUUCAGAACUGUAGAGGCAGUAACUGUCACUGCAUCUGCAGGACUUGUCUGAGAGACUUGGCUGACCCUACGGAGUGUUGCAGUGUGCCUGCCCAGGGAGGGCGUCACCAUGAGGCAGCUGAAGGGGAAGCCCAAGAAGGAGACAUCCAGGGACAAGAAGGAGCGUAAGGCGGCCAUGCAGGAGGCCCGGUCGCAGGUGGCCACAGUGGUUCUACCCACGCUGGCUGUGGUGGUGCUGCUCAUCGUAGUCUUUGUUUACGUAGCCACCAUGCCCAGGGCCUUAGAGUAGUGCCAGGUUCCACAUACCUCCCCUUGGCCCUAACCCCUUGAUGUUAGCAUGUCUGUCUGGUCUUAAUAGGUAUAAGCAGUGUCAGCAUUCUCCAACCCUGUUCCUGGAGAGCUACCUUGCUGUAGGUCUUCACUCCAACCCUAGUUGUAACUAACCUGAUUCAGCCUAUCAACUAGCUAAUUAUUAGAAUCAGGUGUGCUAGAUUAGGGUUGGAGCGAAAAACUACAGGAAGGUAUCUCUCCAAGAACAGCGUUGGUGUGAACCUACAGGACGGUAGCUCUCCAGGAACAGCGUCGGAGAGCCCUGAGCAGUGUAGUACUACAGCGUCCACCAUAUUGCUCCUAUCUAAUAGAUCUUGGCCAAGGGGAAGGGUAGGGGUUGAAUCGGGUCCUGCUCUAGGAUGGCUGGGCCCCGCUGGGGAUGUAUGCCUCAGCCCUGCCUCCAUGGACUGGGUCCCAAUUUACUCAGAGACUUGCUGCACCCAAAGGAUGCCCCCCACCCCCCGACUCCCAGCUUAAUGUACUCAUCCCUCAUAUAGCAGUUUUUUUAAAUGUUAUUUUAUUUAACCUUUAUUUAACUAGGCAAGUUUUCUGGUCACUCAUUUCAUCCUCUCACCCACACUUCACUAUCUCCUUGUGUCCUCGGAGACCUGCCAUUUGUCUUAAUUGAAGCUUCCUGCCAAGUGCCAUUUUGCCAUGAGAGAAUUGAGCUGCAAAACAAUCAUUGAAUGGAGAAGUAUUACAGGAGUGGCUUCAUAGGUGCCUUUUUGAUGGAUGAAGAUGUGUGGCAACUAAGGCAACCAUGUUAGCUCAAGGGCAGAACUUUUAUCUGCUACAUCUCACUCAUUCUGUUACGACAGUGGGAUUCAUGUUGGCUCUGGUGCUGUCUUAGUUUCAAUUUCCUGUUUAUCAAAGGACUUUCGGUACACACCUUGCCAAGUUUGAUCUGAGGAUGUUUUAUUCAGGUGAAAGGUUGAAGAAGCAUUUAAUUAAAGUGUGACAAAAUGAAUCUACUGGCAUUGUUUAGCAAUGUGUUUUUCAAGAUUAAGGUUACAUGACAAAGAGCAUUUGACCGUUUUCAGGCCAGCAGUCCAAGCUAUGUCUAGAAUGUAUACAUCCAAAAAUUUGCGAUUACAAAAAAAAAAGAACAUUUUCACAUGCCAGCAAUUGGUCCUGUCUGUUCAAAUAGUUGAAAGCAACUCAGGAUUUUGUCCUGAUUGAAUGUGGUGUUUUUGUACUAGACAGAUUGUGAAUAUGUCACACAGGAGAACAUAAUAUAUUAAUGUACAAUCACAGCGCUACACACUUUGUACCUUUUUUAAGUUAUUGACAACUUUGACUUUUGGGUCGCUCAAUAUGACAUCUGUGCAGAUGUGAAAAUAUGUGCCUUAUAACAUUUGACAAUUCCUCUUUUUCAGUUAAUAAAGAACUGAAAACUGUUUGUUGCUCGAGUCCCCUCAAACUCGAUUCUGGACCUCGAAGACAGUUUUUUUUCCAUUUUUCCCCUCUAUUCAGGGACAGGUUUAGACCUGGGACACCUGGUGGGUGAAAUGACCUCCUAGGGUAAGAGUUGAAUACCCCUGCUCUAGUCUAUUUGGUGUAAUUUGGUGUACCUUUAACCCAUAUGCAGUAAUGCAGGCAGCCCGGUGGAUCAGUAGUGUCACCUGGCAUCCUCUAGGGACACUAAAGAGCAGUGUCCCUACUGUCCCCUAGGCGUACUGUAUGUCUGUGUUGGCCCCUGCCCCUGUUGCCCAAAGUCUGACUUGCUUUGGAUGAGGAAUGGUUGGAUUUUGCUCUGUCCUGUAAUAUAUAAUCUGAGAGUGCAGGCAAGGAUGAACAAGGGAAAGAACAUGAUCUAAGAUUGAUUGCUCCUUAGAACUUCAGAUGGAGCACUUAAAGUAAGGACACAUUCUGUAAUAUACUGAGACGGUGGAGAAUCCUCUUGUGUACCAGAUUGACAUUUUUUUAAUGAGCGGCUAUCCAUAAAUGUCAGAGCAGAGAAAAGGCUUAACCUUAUCAGUCUUGAGACUCCAACAAAAAUAGUCUUCAUUUAUGACUUUCAUUUAUCUGCAUGUCCAGCCCUUAUUUAGCCUCAGUGUUUUACCGUUUUAUUUUCAGGACAACUAGGGCUACAAGUAAAAUAAUUUGACAUAAAAAGUUGCAUUCAUUAGUUUUAUUGACUAAUGUAUAUUUAUAGAAAUAUAUAUUUUAAAGUGGGACUUAAUACAAAAACCUGAAUAUGAAUUGUUUGGCCAGUGGGAAAUGAAUAUCCAACUAGUCAGUGACAACUGUGCAGUUUGGAGUUUGUUACAGCAACUAUGUGAGCUUAUGUUUGAGUAUUAUAGGCACUAUGUCCUUGGAUUUCCUAUGAUCUUCUUUGUAGAAUAACCCCUUACCUUCUAAGGACUCUUAUGUAGCUUGUGAGCGUCAACAUGAUACGUGCAUGUUUGUGAGAGUCAGCUUUUUAUAGAUCGCUUUUACGUAACUCUACCCAGCCCCGGGCCCCGCCCUUGUCCCACAAACACCGCUCUAGCUCAGCCCCUGUUAAUCACAAAGCUGAAGCAGGAGACAUGGACAAAUCCAAUGGUACACAUUUUUAUUUUACCUUUAUUUAACUAGGCAAGUCAGUUAAGAAUUCUUAUUUUCAAUGACAGCCUAGUGGGUUGGGGCAGAACGACAGAUUUGUACCUUGUCAGCUCGGGGGUUUGAACUUGCAACCUUCCGGUUACUGGUCCAACGCUCUAACCACUAGGCUACCCUGCCACCCCAAAUCUAAUGGUACAACCCAGAAGUCUGUAGCUCAAACACACAAUGUUUAAAAAGGUGUCCAAAUCGUGCCGGCGACGCGGUGGGACUCAUUGGGACCCCUGUGAAAUAGAGAAAGUUAAGCCGAGACACAAGCACCUCACACCAUACCCCCUCCCUUCUUCCAACACACAGCUGCAACAUGAAGUUAAUCUACUUCCUAUCUAUCCACUAUACAGCAAAAAUAUCCAGCAGACCAUUACCUUGGAGAAGCGCUGUAGUCUAACAAGAUGUCUGUUUGAAUGGAUCCAGCCUAUUCUCUAGUCUCCCCUCUCUUCCUGGUGUCUCAUUAAAAGUUGGAGGGAGACAGAUGGUGCGGUGCAAGUCAAGUAUGGCUGCCUUCGUAUGUCAGCUUCUCUAUCUCUGUGUGCUCUCUCACUAUCCCCAUACUUGCUGGGUUAGAGGUGUGGUUUGGGGUAAGAAGACCUGAGUUUGGGGUCAAGUGCUUGAGAAAUGUUAACAAUUACUUUAUUAGAUAAAAAUGAAUCACAUCUAAAAACAUUAAAAAAUUAGAUUUUUUUACUAAGACCAUAGAAUCAUGUAUACUGUUCAUCUGAAUAGUUUGAGAUGUACAGUAAGACCUCUGAUGUAAACACGUUGAGAAUGGAGGUGGUUCAGAACAUUGAAAUGUUCAAAUCAUUAUGGAAAAUAGAGUAUUUUUUUAAGUUGAUCGAGAAAAGACAUUUAUCUCCCUUGAACAGGAUAUUAUCUUGAAACCAUCUGCCAUCCUUCCUUUCUCCUCAUUUGAGACCAAGCACGGAGACACUAAUGAAUAGUCAUUGGCUGACAGUAUUUGUUCAGUGAAGGUGGAGUGAAAUGCAGGUGUGUCAUAGUAGACUUGUUAGAAGGACAGAAUGCCUUGUGAGGAGUUCAGAUACACCCCAACUCUGUCAGUGUUUGAGGAAACGACGUUUGAGGAGUCUCAGGCGCCAGGAUUUGUCAUUGUAACAACAUAAACAGUUGAGCUCUUUUCCAACCCUGCUCAUGUCUUUUAUAUGCCACACCUGCAUUACCCUUUCCCACCACACAGCCUCCCAGUAACAACGUCCAGUCAAACCUUCUCUUCACAGCACCUGAGGAUAGUCGUCAAAUCUCUCGGUGUGAUAUAGAUUAUUCAACUAACAUUAAUCUAGCACCAGGAUCAGCAGUGUUUAGCAGAAACUAAACUUUUAACAUAAACUAUAUUUUGCUAGCUAAUUUAGCGAACGUCGGUAGCCUCGAACCCCGGCCAUAUUAGAUCAUAUAAAUUAGUUAGCCUCAAACUUUGCCCGGUCAUACUGCUAGUUGCAGUGAACGGCACCGUCAUGUUUUAUUAAAAACAAUGCUGAAAAAAAAACUAUAACAGCCACGGAAACACAUUGGACUAUGUUAAUGCUAUCAAGAAGGGAACCAUGAAGAGGAGCUUGGAGUGGGCAAGGGAGAGGCUGAUAAAGCAGCAGAGGAGACCUGAUUAAUCAAGUAUCAAUUAAUUUAGGUGAUUCUCAACUGGUUGGCAUGCACAACAUAAGACACUUCAAUCUGACACUUGUUAAUGUUUGACGUCAGGCAAAACAUCUUCAGCCACCGUAGGACGGAGAGCCGCUGGUUGGCAUUUGACUGCAGUGUCUGUCUGGGUGUACCAGGAAAGAACGUUAGUAGUUAGGUCCCCAUGAUAUCAAAGCUUCUUACCGUCUCCACUGCAGCCUAGUCAAUAUCGAUAAAAUAAAAUAAACUGGAACAAUGGAUUGUACGACAUUAUGUACAACUCCAGUUUGCCUAUUGCCCCAACAUAUGUCAAUUAUACAUUUUUACAUACGUCAGAGUGCAUUUUCUUUUAUAGCUUUGCGUUCAACGCCAUCCUUACCCACAAACUGGUUAGCAGGCUCUGGGUGUAAAUCCUGUAAUAAAUUAGAUUUUUUACAUUAUAAGAAUGUGUAUCCACAGAAUGGACCUGACACUACCAUGGUACACAUGAGUACAUGAAGGAGCUGUGGGACCUGACAAUGGUGAUAGGACAAGUUUCAGCAUAAGCAAAACAAAGUAGAUGGUGAUACUUGACCAUUCUCCCAUCUACUGUACAUUGACAUGGAGAUGAUCAGCAGCUGCAAGUUCCUGGGCACCCUGAUAUCCUUUUCUGCCCUCAGUUACUUCACUCAAAGUCCCACUUGUGCUUCUCCACUAACCUCAAACUUGCUGCACCACGACCUAUGUACCAACUACAGUGUCUUUUAUUGCCAUAACACAUGUAAAGGAAAUGUCCAUAUUUACUGUAAGAUUUAUUUAUGGUAACAUUGCACAUAUUGUAACAUAGUCCCUUGACAUACAUGACUUAACUACUUUGCAUAAUGCUCAGUUUACCCACUAAAAUCAUACAUUUAUUUAAAUAUUAAAGCUGCAUUAUGUAA